GAUGAACGCUGGCGGCGUGCCUAAUACAUGCAAGUCGAGCGAACAGACGAGGAGCUUGCUCCUCUGCCGUUAGCGGCGGACGGGUGAGUAACACGUGGAUAACCGACCUAUAAGACUGGGAUAACUUCGGGAAACCGGAGCUAAUACCGGAUAAUAUAUUGAACCGCAUGGUUCAAUAGUGAAAGACGGUUUUGGUGUCACUUAUAGAUGUGUCCGCGCCGCAUUAGCUAGUUGGUAAGGUAACGGCUUACCAAGGCAACGAUGCGUAGCCGACCUGAGAGGGUGAUCGGCCACACUGGAACUGAGACACGGUCCAGACUCCUACGGGAGGCAGCAGUAGGGAAUCUUCCGCAAUGGGCGAAAGCCUGACGGAGCAACGCCGCGUGAGUGAUGAAGGUCUUCGGAUCGUAAAACUCUGUUAUUAGGGAAGAACAAAUGUGUAAGUAACUAUGCACGUCUUGACGGUACCUAAUCAGAAAGCCACGGCUAACUACGUG
RNAcentral lists this ribosomal RNA (497 nucleotides) under uncultured bacterium. RNAcentral describes it as "partial 16S ribosomal RNA". It matches the Rfam family "Bacterial small subunit ribosomal RNA", at positions 28 to 507 of the family's 1533-position model. The record is from RNAcentral.